AGAGUACAAAAAGAGGUACUCCAAAGAAGGAAAAUAGAAAGCAUUGGUGAUUUUAGGAAUGUAGAUCAAUGUAUUACAACAAAAACACAUUUUCAGUACAUUCUUGGUUUUCCAACGAAUUUCUCUCUCUCUCUCUCUCUCUCUCUCUCUCUCUCUCUCUCUCUCUCUCUCUCUCUCUCUCUCUCUUUUUUAAUGACAGGGAAGAACUUUGACCCAAAUAUCCAUUUUGACACUAAUUGGAGCCUACAGAAGAAGGAGACCACUUGUUAUCGAUGUCAUAUCAUUAACCUGGAUUUUGAACACUGUUGAGAGAAGAAUUUUCUAUUAAAAAAUUUAGUAAAUGUGGGGCAUACUUUUUUUCCCAGCUUAAAUUUUUCAGAAUGUAUUUGAGAUGUGAUGAUUUUUAUUUCUACAAAGACCAAGAACUGUGUUUCCAGAACUUCAGAGCUGCACUCAUUCUGAAAAGUAUUAUGGAAAAAAAAAAAAAAGUCAGACCUGAGACAUAAGGCUGCAAUUUCUGUCUGCUUCUGUAUCUUUGAGGGUGUCUCCUAAGAACUGUGCCUCAGGUUUCCCAGUAGGAAAAUAAGGUGAGCCUAUUACAAGGAGUCAAGCUUAGUAAGUCAAUAUUUUGUAUCAUGUUUGUUAUUUUCAAGUUGAAGGGGAAAGACAUUUAUUUAAAUAGAAUGGUUCUUUUUGUUUUUGUACAAACUGCCGAAGAAAAGAACAAUCUUUUGCUGCAAAAUAGAAUUAGGCGUAUAUUUGAUGCUUCUAUCAGGAUUUUGAAUUUCCUGGGCAUAUUUAACAGUAUUAUUUAAUUUCAUCAAUAUCCUAUUUUUAAAGCUUUCCAGAAUAGUACUUAUGUAUAACGUUUAGACAGUUGCUAUUAGUAGAAAGAAGAAUUUAAUCACAUGGGCAGGGAGGGAGUGGGUAUGGGAUCAAGGCCACAGCAUAGGUAGCAAGUUUUGCUGAUGGAUUGAUGGACUCAGUUAGUACCAAUAGGUUCCCUGACUGCUUCUGAAAUCAAAAAAUGUCUCGGAUAAAUCCUGGUUCUUCUGUAGUUGCUGGCAUAUUAAUUUGGAAAACAGCACUUCACUACCUCAUGUUAGAUUAGCUCAUUGGUGAUGCUUCUCUUUUGUAUAAUAUCUCCUGUAUAUAUCCCUAUUUACACAAAACAGGAUGAGACUUUCAUUGCAAUUAAAACAUUCUUAAAAUUGUAUAAGUUGGAAAAGUCCACACUGUACAUAAAUUUUGACUGAAAAUAGAAGUUUUCCUCUUCUUUGCCAGUUUUUUUUUUCCUGAAUGGGUAGCUUUGGGAAGGGGCAAGAAGAAGGCUAAAUAAUUAAUACAAAAUUGCAUAGGCAGUAGGUUAUUAUUAAUGCAUAUAUAUUAUGUUGGACACCUUUAUGUUUGCCAAAAAUAAUCUUGAACCUUUUGAUUAAUUUCCUGACUGGAUAUAAUUAACCAGAAGUAGAAUAACUAUAAGAUAAAAUACUUGGUUCACUUAUUUUUCUCAAUUUGAUUACUGCCAAUUUUACUUGUUAUGAGGUCAGCAUAAACUAAAUAUUAGGGCCAGCUACAUGCAUUGUUAACCUAGGGAAAACCAUUAAGAUAUCCAGGUAUUUUGCAAAGUACAUAUGGGUAACAUUGCCCUCCCCUCUCCUCCCUGUGUGUAUGUGUGUGUGUGUGUGUAGCUCCCUAAUCUCCAUUUAAUAUUUCUUUUUGUUCCCUAAUCACAAAAUGGAUCCUCAAGUAGUUUAACAUAGAUACAAGCCAUUGAUGGGACAUUUUCUUCUAGAUGAAUUUGAAAAAAUAAUUGAUAAUGAUUUAAAAAAUAUUAUAAGUAUUAUAAAGAUAGUUGUCACUACUAAAUGCUUGAUUUUAUUUGUGAAACUUCCAAAAUUUUCUGCUUAAGAUUUUAAAGUUUUUUCCCCAAAACUUAUUUGUGUUGGAUGAAAUUAGAUGAAAAUUUUUUUUUUUUUAGUCACAAAUUAACCCUAGAAGGCAACUCUUUGAAUGAAUGCUUGCCACCCAUUUGAAUUCUAGGUGGACAUAAAGGUUGUCCAGACUAGGUCACCAUGUGAAGCACUUAGGAGAAGUACAGACUGAGCCAAAGUAGGAUUAUUGUUUUCCACAAGCCAAGCAGUGAAGAGGGGAUUUGGGAAUUCUGACACACAUCACUAUCUCUGAUUUCCUUUUACAUGACUUUGUCAUGAAGAAGCAAAUUACUUAGCCCUACAUUAAUAUCUGUUCCAUACCAGUGAAAUGGAAGAGUGAAGGAAUUAGGAAAAAAAAUACAGAAGGCCUUAGUUUAGGAAAAAAGAGUUUCAUCUUACCUUUUCUGUAGCUGAACUACAUUGAAAAAGACUGCAGAAUGCAGUUUCCCCAGCAACAAUCCUCUGCUCUGUGAGUACAAGAGCUUUUCCCAAGGCAAUUUAAGUAGUUAUUUAAAAAUCUUAGGCCAAACUCUCAUUUAGGCUGUAUGAAUGAGGUUUGAAAUAUUUUGACGAUUGUCAUUAACCUACCAAUAUAAUAUUUAGUAAGACUGUCACCUUAUUUGAAGACAAUAAAAUGCAGUAAAGUACUAAAAAUGUAUGGUAAAUAACUCAAACUUAAUUUUUUCCAGAUUUAUGAGGUAUUUAGUUUUAUAGAUGCAGCCUUUAUCAUUGAGUUACAUGAUGCUUUUUUCAUGGGUUCUGGGUAAAUGGAGAUUUAUUUGGUAAACAGGGCUCCGUUUUCACCAUUGCAAUGACUGAAGGGUAUUUGUUCACAUUCAUGUGGCCUAACAUCAUAUUUACUUCACAUAAUAAGACAAGUGUGGGUUUUACCUGAUUUUAUUUCCACCUCUGUUUUUAAUUCUUCAGUAUUUAGUCACUCUGGAUUGGCUUCCCACGUCCUGUUUUUUGUUUUGUUUUGUGGCUGCGUAGUGAAUCGUAAUGUAGGUGAACAGCGCUGACUUAAUAUUACCUCUGACAAAACAAUGGAAACUACACAAGUAUUUUUUGUAGACUCUAAAACAUAAAAAUAUGUUCACUUAUAUGAUACCUGAGCUAGUUAUUCAUUUGUGCGCUCAUUUUCUAAGUUUGCCUUCCAUUUCAUCCAACACAAAUAAGUUGGCAGCUGUACUUUUGUGUCAUUUUCAUGUUUUCAACCAUGGGCACCUUGACGUCUCUCAGUCCUAGAGUGGAUUUCCAUUUUGCAAUGGGAAGGGAAGACAACAUAUUUAUUUCAUAAGGAAACAGCUGAUUUAGGAGAAUAACUUAUCUUUAUUAAAUUGAGAUGUUUUAGCCAAGAAUAAUAUGGGUCAGGUUUUUUUCCCCCUCUAAUAUGUUUCUAACAAUUCCCAGUAGAAAUGGGUGGGGCCAAUCUUCUUCAUUUAUAAUCCAGCUGCAGUGAGAGUCAGGAUCCUUGCUCAUUCUGUUCCCAAAUGUGUGAUAAACGCAGAAAAUCGAUGUGAAGGUCACAGUCUUCAAGUCUGUUGCAUUGUGUUCCAUAAAGCAUCCUGGCUGGAGGUGGGAAGGUGGGAGAGUACCAUAAUGUAAUUGAUGAUUUAAAGAAUUUGCCUGGAAAUUUUUUUUGACCCAUGAGUUUUAAAACCUUAUACUACUGCUCUUAUGAGUUUAAUAAGACAAAGUUAAACCACUCACUCAGAAUAGAUUAAACCUUUUCCCUCAACUACACAGCUUUUACUACAGCUGAGAUUAAAUGAUUCCUCAUCCUAUUUUUUCCCCUUUCUUACAAUUCUUCUUUAGUGAUUAAGGGCAUAUAUAGGAAAAAAUAAUAAUGGUAUCAGAGGAUAUAGGUAUACUUAUCUAUAAAGACUGUGAUUCUUGUGCAAUAGUGUACAACCCUAGUUUAUGUUCAAUGUGGAGUAUGGGUAAUGAAGGAUUUUUCUUUUUCAUCUUACUUAUAAUGAUAUUUUAUCCUAAAUGGGAUCAAAUAAAUUCAUGUAACUGUAUAAUUUUCUUAAAAAUGUCUAGUCUUAAUAUUAGCUAAUUAGAAACAAACAUUUUCUUUACAUUUAUAAAAGUGUCUUUUCUUGUGUAUAUCAGUGUGCUAUUUUCAUU
Molecule: long non-coding RNA, 4064 nt
Filed under: Marmota monax (woodchuck)
Lineage: Eukaryota; Metazoa; Chordata; Mammalia; Rodentia; Sciuridae
Source: RNAcentral